CAGUGGGGAAUAUUGCACAAUGGGCGCAAGCCUGAUGCAGCCAUGCCGCGUGUAUGAAGAAGGCCUUCGGGUUGUAAAGUACUUUCAGCAGUGAGGAAGGCAGGUACGUUAAUAGCGUGCUUGUUUGACGUUACCUACAGAAGAAGCACCGGCUAACUCCGUGCCAGCAGCCGCGGUAAUACGGAGGGUGCGAGCGUUAAUCGGAAUUACUGGGCGUAAAGCGCAUGCAGGCGGCCUGUUAAGUCAGAUGUGAAAGCCCGGGGCUUAACCUCGGAAUUGCAUUUGAAACUGGCAGGCUAGAGUCUUGUAGAGGGGGUAGAAUUUCAGGUGUAGCGGUGAAAUGCGUAGAGAUCUGAAGGAAUACCAGUGGCGAAGGCGGCCCCCUGGACAAAGACUGACGCUCAGAUGCGAAAGCGUGGGGAGCAAACAGGAUUAGAUACCCUGGUAG
This 448-nucleotide ribosomal RNA is filed under the name uncultured bacterium. Its description in RNAcentral is "bacterial SSU rRNA". It matches the Rfam family "Bacterial small subunit ribosomal RNA", at positions 352 to 793 of the family's 1533-position model. The record is from RNAcentral.